This 17-nucleotide microRNA is filed under the name Macrophomina phaseolina MS6. RNAcentral describes it as "miR-1188-3p". Lineage: Eukaryota; Fungi; Ascomycota; Dothideomycetes; Botryosphaeriales; Botryosphaeriaceae. The record is from RNAcentral.
CCAGGCUCCCCGCCACA